UCCUAGUAGAGUGGCGAACGGGUGAGUUACGCGUGGAUAACAUACCUUUCAGUGGGGAGGAGCAUCGGGAAACUGAUGCUAAUACCGCAGAUGUCAUUUCAUUGAUUUUGAUUUGACUGAAGGGGGGGCUCCUUUUGGACCUUCCGCUGAUAGAUUGGUCCGCGUCCCAUUAGCUAGUUGGUGGGGUAAAGGCCUACCAAUGCGACGAUGGGUAGCCGGCCUGAGAGGGUGUCCGGGCACACUGGGAUUGAGAUACGGCCCAGACUCCUUCGGGAGGCAGCAGUCGAGAAUCUUCCACAAUGUACGAAAGUAUGAUGGAGCGACGCCGCGUGUGUGAUGAAGGCUCAACGAGUUGUAAAGCACUGUCAGGGGGGAAGAAUCAGCGCAUAACUAAUAAAUAUGCGCUCUGACGUACCCCCAGAGGAAGCUCCGGCUAACUCCGUGCCAGCAGCCGCGGUAAUACGGAGGGAGCAAGCGUUGUCCGGAAUUAUUGGGCGUACAGGGCACGCAGGCGGUUCGGUAAGUCGAAUGUGAAAUCUUACAGCUUAACUGUAAAACUGCGUUCGAAACUACCGAACUUGAGUACUGGAGAGGUAUGCGGAAUUCCUGGUGGAGCGGUGGAAUGCGUGGAUAUCAGGAAGAACACCGGUGGCGAAGGCGGCAUACUGGCCAAGUACUGACGCU
RNAcentral lists this ribosomal RNA (684 nucleotides) under uncultured organism. Its description in RNAcentral is "bacterial SSU rRNA". It matches the Rfam family "Bacterial small subunit ribosomal RNA", at positions 85 to 747 of the family's 1533-position model. The record is from RNAcentral.